RNAcentral lists this ribosomal RNA (462 nucleotides) under uncultured bacterium. Its description in RNAcentral is "bacterial SSU rRNA". It matches the Rfam family "Bacterial small subunit ribosomal RNA", at positions 29 to 524 of the family's 1533-position model. The record is from RNAcentral.
AACGAACGCUGGCGGCAGGCCUAACACAUGCAAGUCGAACGCCGUAGCAAUACGGAGUGGCAGACGGGUGAGUAACGCGUGGGAACAUACCCCUCGGUUCGGAAUAACUCAGGGAAACUUGAGCUAAUACCGGAUACGUCCGAGGUUUUAAUCGACCUUGGAGAAAGAUUUAUCGCCGGAGGAUUGGCCCGCGUCUGAUUAGCUUGUUGGUGAGGUAAUGGCUCACCAAGGCGACGANCAGUAGCUGGUCUGAGAGGAUGAUCAGCCACAUUGGGACUGAGACACGGCCCAAACUCCUACGGGAGGCAGCAGUGGGGAAUAUUGGACAAUGGGCGAAAGCCUGAUCCAGCCAUGCCGCGUGAGUGAUGAAGGCCUUAGGGUGUAAAGCUCUUUACCCGGGAAGAUAAUGACGGUACCGGGAGAAUAAGCCCCGGCUAACUUCGUGCCAGCAGCCGCAGUAAG